Molecule: RNA transcript, 2160 nt
Organism: Nerophis ophidion (straightnose pipefish)
Lineage: Eukaryota; Metazoa; Chordata; Actinopteri; Syngnathiformes; Syngnathidae
Gene: lg08h2orf42
Gene name: linkage group 08 C2orf42 homolog
Exons: 10
Source: RefSeq, a predicted model, not a curated record
UGUCGUUACAGACGCAAUGCGGGUGUCGGGAUGUAAGGAGCAAUGGCGACGGCCGAGCUGGUUUGGAGGCGAAUUGGAGCCGAAUUUGACCAACGGGGAGCUGCUCAGACCCUUUCACCUUUCUGAAAAUGAAGAGUGCGUCCUCUUCCGCCUUCCAUGUCCCGCCCCCCUCCAUCAAGCAGAUGUCAACAACACCCAGCCUGGCGGCCAAACAGAGAGACAUACGCAAGGCGCCGUCCUCCGUCACCCCGGCCUUCCUCGCCGACCUGGGCAGAGCCACCCUGCGGGGGAUCCGCAAGUGUCCCCAGUGUGGCGUUUACAACGGCACCCGCGGGCUCAGCUGCAAGAACGCCGUUUGCGGCAUAUCCCUCCGGAACGCCUCGGCGGAGGCCAGGAGGGGCAGGAAGGACGUCGUCGACGCGGUGAAAGUCAUCAUCGACGGCGAGGAGAAGGACCACCAGGGAGCGCAGGUGUUUUCGGUGUGUCAACGAGGAAGAGGGGGCGCUCAGUUCGGCUUCGUCGAGCUGGUCGCCACCAACGCCGCCAUCGCCACGGGCGACAGAGCCUCCCUGCUGUCCCACAUCAACCUGGGCCGCUGCUUCAUGGCCGCCUGCAAACAGGGUCAAAAGGCGUCCUACGAAAUCCCCUGCGUUCACAUCAAGCAAGCCGCCGAGUGCGCCGACCUCGCCACGCCGCUCAGCGUCAAGAGUUCCGUCCUGGAGGCUCUGCAAGCCUCCGUUCAAGCCAAGGAGGAGCUCUGGAGGCUGGCCACCGAGUCCCCGGGGCCCCUGGUGCAGCGCGUGUCCAGGGACACCCUGGUGGUGAAAUGCAACCCGAAUCCCCGGCACUCCCACGGCCUGCUGCACCUCACCGUGGCGGCCGGCGGGCGGGCCGAGGCGCCGAAAAGCGACGUGCGACAGCAGGCGGUGUUUCGCUGCACCUGCCAAGCGGGCGGCAGGAGAGGCAGGGCGGACGGGGCCGAGCCGGCGGGGGGGCCGUCGAAGCCCUGCCUGCACUUCUACGCCUGCGUGUGCGCCUUGGCGAGCGACGAGAAGCUGGCCGCGGAGUUUGCAGCUUUUAUCAAGUCCUCGUUAAACGGCGUGCUACCAAACCCCACCUGCCGAGUCAUCGUUCCCUGCGAGAGGCCGCUGCUGCAUGGCGAAGCGGGGAAGUCUCCACACAAGGCCAAGAAGCUGCGCCAGGAGGAAACCCUCUCCGGUGGAAGUGGUCAGGCCGUGGACGAGCACUCCGUGUCGUUGGGGUUCCACCAGUGGUUGGCCGGCGUCACGGAAAGGAUCCACCAUACGAUGCACUACCAGUUUGACGGGAAACCACAACCUCUGGUGUACCACAUACCUCAACAGUUCUUUAAUGCCCUGCAGCAUCGCCUGUCGCUCGGCUGCAAGAGGAGGCUGCCUAACAUCACCACAGUGGUCGUGCGGAACGACUCCCCCUCUUUGGGCUCGUUCUCCAAGUACACCUGGCACAUCACCAACCUGGCGCAGGUCAAACGUAUCUUCGACACCCCCGAGUUGCAGCUGGAGCUCACUCAGAGUUUUGUCAAGAACGGCGACGGCUCCUACUCGCGCUUUCGCUGUCUGCUACCGCCGCCCGAACUGGACCUGCGGGAGGGACUCAGACCGGAUCGGCCGCCAGCGAUUCGACCCAGGGAGCUGCAGACCUUCCUGAGAGUCGGGUCCGCCUCGGACGACCGUCCGUUCGAGAUCGAGUGGACCCCCGAUGUGCUCCCGCUUUGCCACGUGGGCGAGCUGAGGAUCAGCUUUGAGUUCGGCCACCAGCAGAGCGGACACCAGGCCGACUCGUCGGAGUGUUGGAAAAGCAACGUGACUCCGGCGCCCUCCCACGCCAAGUGAGCGCCGUCGCGCCCUUUCGCGGGACACUUCAUUAGGAGGCUGGAGUCUAUCCCAGCUGCACUCAAGGUCAGGCUCCACCCGGGACUAAUCACCACCUCAUCACAGCAUUUUGUCGACGUCCGAGUCAUCCGUCAACAAACGUCAAAGUUGAGGCUUUGACUUAUUUUGCCGGCGUGGCCCGAAAGCUGCCGGAGCUGGGAACAGCUGCCCGUGGUCGUGCGAGGAGCAGGCGGAGGGAAAGUGACGAUGACGUCGACCGAUUCAAGCGGGAAAAUGUCCGAGUGGG